GACGUAGGGCGCGAGCGUUGUCCGGAUUUAUUGGGCGUAAAGAGCUCGUAGGCGGCUUGUCGCGUCGUUCGUGAAAACCUGCAGCUCAACUGCAGGCUUGCGGUCGAUACGGGCAGGCUAGAGUUCGGUAGGGGAGACUGGAAUUCCUGGUGUAGCGGUGAAAUGCGCAGAUAUCAGGAAGAACACCCGUGGCGAAAGCGGCUCUCUGGAACGGUACUGACGCUGAGACGCGAAAGCGUGGGGAGCGAACAGG
RNAcentral lists this ribosomal RNA (253 nucleotides) under uncultured bacterium. Its description in RNAcentral is "partial 16S ribosomal RNA". It matches the Rfam family "Bacterial small subunit ribosomal RNA", at positions 524 to 776 of the family's 1533-position model. The record is from RNAcentral.